GUUGCUUUUCACUCAUAAGUGGUAAUGAUUUUGUUUUGAUGGGUAAGAAGGAAAAUAAUUUGGGAUAGAUUAAAAGAGGGACGAAUGAUAUCAGAGGGACAUUCAAACUCAGACAUGAUAUAUAUCAAGGUAAUCUGAUUGAAUAGAACAUUCGUUUAAUAUGAAAAGAGGAUCAUAUUCUGUCAUGUAUGAUGUGUAUUGGGUAUGUGUAAUUUUGCGUUUUUCGUUAUGAGUUUUCAAUUGUCUGUAAAUUGUCAAUUUUCUACUGUUUAUAUUUCAACAUAUUUUCAGAGUGAAAAAUAAACGAAAGUUGUCCUACUCCCCAAAUAAAGUAUUGUAAAGUUCAGUAGUCUGUAAAUUACCUUUUUUUCUACUGCAUACGUUGGAACAUAUUUUUAGUGUAA
RNAcentral lists this long non-coding RNA (404 nucleotides) under Mytilus galloprovincialis (Mediterranean mussel). Lineage: Eukaryota; Metazoa; Mollusca; Bivalvia; Mytilida; Mytilidae. The record is from RNAcentral.